GAUGAACGCUGGCGGCGUGCCUAAUACAUGCAAGUCGAGCGAAUGGAUUAAGAGCUUGCUCUUAUGAAGUUAGCGGCGGACGGGUGAGUAACACGUGGGUAACCUGCCCAUAAGACUGGGAUAACUCCGGGAAACCGGGGCUAAUACCGGAUAACAUUUUGAACCGCAUGGUUCGAAAUUGAAAGGCGGCUUCGGCUGUCACUUAUGGAUGGACCCGCGUCGCAUUAGCUAGUUGGGGAGGGAACGGCUCACCAAGGCAACGAUGCGUAGCCGACCUGAGAGGGUGAUCGGCCACACUGGGACUGAGACACGGCCCAGACUCCUACGGGAGGCAGCAGUAGGGAAUCUUCCGCAAUGGACGAAAGUCUGACGGAGCAACGCCGCGUGAGUGGUGAAGGCUUUCGGGUCGUAAAACUCUGUUGUUAGGGAAGAACAAGUGCUAGUUGAAUAAGCUGGCACCUUGACGGUACCUAACCAGAAAGCCACGGCUAACUACGUGCCAGCAGCCGCCGUAA
Molecule: ribosomal RNA, 515 nt
Filed under: uncultured bacterium
Lineage: Bacteria
Description: partial 16S ribosomal RNA
Rfam family: Bacterial small subunit ribosomal RNA
Source: RNAcentral